Molecule: long non-coding RNA, 611 nt
Organism: Syngnathus acus (greater pipefish)
Lineage: Eukaryota; Metazoa; Chordata; Actinopteri; Syngnathiformes; Syngnathidae
Exons: 3
Source: RefSeq, a predicted model, not a curated record
UCAGAACGUGUGCUCUUGCGAUCAGAGAAUCUCCUUUAAAACAGGAGGCAAUAAAUGGGAUAGCCCCUGUCAUAAAUGGUCUUUGGUUAGGAGGAAUCAUUAGGAAGUGCUCAAACUCUUCCUGCAAACACUCCUAUAUGCCAAGUUCAAAAGGGCAAUACAAUUGACUACAAGAGUUGCUAAGAACAGACGAAGAACAGUCCUUGGCAGAUAGCAUGAUCAGAGCACUCAAACUGAAAGAUGUGUCAAAUGCAAAUUUACUGCCGCCUGAUCUUUCUUCCCCACAGGUCAACAACUGCUCCAAGCCAUCAAAAAGGACAAACUGGGCCAGCCAUGGUGGGAGGGGCCAUUCCAAGUCUUGCUGACUACCCCCACCGCAGUAAAGAUUGCUGAACAGCCCAGCUGGAUUCACCUCAACCACUGGACGUUACAGAGUGCUGUACCCCAUUUUCGGAGUGGGGGGAAAUCUGACUACAAAGGGGCCUCGUCGUUUAGGGCGGGGCGUCUCAAUGUUGGUGAAGAAUGAAAUCCAUAAGAUCCCCACUCUGACUAGGCAAUGGGAAAUAUCGGUGUCUCUGCCAUCCUAGUAGCAGCGGGCCUCCACAUGCCAG